This 253-nucleotide unclassified non-coding RNA is filed under the name uncultured Alphaproteobacteria bacterium. RNAcentral's name for it is "contains 16S-23S intergenic spacer region". It matches the Rfam family "Bacterial small subunit ribosomal RNA", at positions 524 to 776 of the family's 1533-position model. The record is from RNAcentral. Lineage: Bacteria; Pseudomonadati; Pseudomonadota; Alphaproteobacteria.
UACGAAGGGGGCUAGCGUUGUUCGGAUUUACUGGGCGUAAAGCGCACGUAGGCGGGUUGUUAAGUUAGAGGUGAAAUCCUGGGGCUCAACUCCAGAACUGCCUUUAAUACUGGCAACCUAGAGUCCGGAAGAGGUGAGUGGAACUCCUAGUGUAGAGGUGGAAUUCGUAGAUAUUAGGAAGAACACCAGUGGCGAAGGCGGCUCACUGGUCCGGUACUGACGCUGAGGUGCGAAAGCGUGGGGAGCAAACAGG